CUCGUACCAAGUUUACAAUGAAACAUAAUUUCUACAUUACAAGACUAUUUCAGAAAAUUAGUAAUCUGAGAUACAAGUAAAUAAAUAAAACAAUCGUAUGACUAUACCUUGUUCAUUCAUAAGUUGGGAAGAGUCGAUAAUUCAAUUGGGAUCGUAGGGGGCAGUGUUUGAGGUACUGUUGAUAUUCUCUGUUUAUGGGAUGUAAUUGAGCAGGCAAUCACUCAACUUUGGAGUGAUUAUUCUGCAGAAAUCUGUCUUCGGAGUUAUUUNUUUUUGUUUUCAUAAAAUGUUACUCAUGCUCACAACAAUCAAGUCACAAGUACAAUUUUUUUUUAAUAAAACUUGUACCGUGGCAACAUGUAAGUGGAUUAUUUUUUUCUUUUUUUUCAUCUUCCAAUGAUGUCGCGCCAUGUGUCAUAUGUAAGAUUUUUGUCGAAAAAUUCUGUACUUAUAGCCCUUGUUUGAGCCCAAUUUUGAGAGAAGAAUGAAUUUUUAAAUAGUGUAUUGAUGAAAAAUGUGUAGUUAAAAAAUAAGAAAUUUUUUGAAUUUACGUAUAAUAUUAUUUUAUUAAAAAUGUGUGAUUAAAAUGAUGUUAAAAUAUUAUUAAAAAAUACAUUUUUUUCGAGAGAAUGGGGGCUCAUGAUUUGCUCACAAACAUAGUCAAGUCAAAUGAUGCAAUUUUCCGUUGGGUGUCGUUUUAAAAUUGACUGACUCUCAUCAAUUGCGGCGUGGAGUUAUUGACUGGUAAAUGGUUCGGACCGUAACCUAUGCACCCAUUGACUAAAUGAAUGCAUGUAUUGACAUCCAGUCAAACUUACGACCAUCGUUAGGAACUAACUUUUCAAAAUUUUGAACGUGGAAAAUGUUGUGAUCCGUCGAUUCUCUGCACUUUUAUCAUUUUAUUUUUGAUAUUAUGUGGUUCAAAUAAUGAAUUGGGACGAUCAAUAGAGAGAGGAUGACCCUCCCUCUGUUGGACAGUGCCUGUCAUGAUAUGGUGACUGACGUUGUGUCAGUUCGAUCGACGCUACAUUCGCUUGCUCAUAAGGUACAGACAGAUUUGGCAUAUCAGGUGACGCUCGUCAUAUCAGAGUGCUAAUUGCUAUGCUAGCCUGACUCUCAUCGCGAGCGGACCAAUCGUUGUUAUUCGGAUUACCUGAACUACAUUGGAGCCGGUCGAUAACCAUUUCGACAGUUAUCAUCAAAUCCACUGCUUGGGUAACCGCUAAACAAAUAAAAAAUUGUCUGAGGAGUGGGCAGAUCUCAUGAGGACACGUGGAUGACAACUGCCCGGCGAUUACGUGAUGCUAGACUUAUGAGGACACGUGGAUGGCAACUGACCAGUGGUUACAUGAUGUCAGACGCAUAUAAAUACCCCAUAGGCAUGUUAGGAAAAGGGGGAUCUUUGAUUUCAAAAAAAUAUUUUUCUCUGUCACUGUUGCAACUCUUUGAAAUCCUUUAUACAAAAACAAUUACUGAUUCUCACGCCGAAGGUAAAACGGGGGAGAAAGCCCCAGUCUCUUUUUUACAAGAUCACAAGAGGACGAGACAACUUUUUCUCUCAAAAAGACACGAAGUUACAUAAUAACUAUUUCAAUUUUGAUCAAAUUUUAUUAAUGGUUAGUAAAAGACGCACGAGAGUUGGCAUCUUGGAUGAGAAUUAAUCAAUUUACAAGUCAUAAUUGAUAAUGUAUGAAUUGUUAAAAAUAAAUAAAUUAUUAGAUGAAAAAACAAGUUAUUUUUCAAAUUGUUUAAUGACAGUUUGUCACGUGACAUGUUGUCAAUAAGGUUAUCAUCAUUGAUUAUAUACCAAGCAUGAUUCCUUAGACAAUAGAUAUUUCAUUCCUUCUAAAAAGAUUAGAAUAUUUGAACAUUAAUCUUUCAAUAAUUUGAAAUCUUGAUAUUUUGAUUUGUACGUCGUAGAAGAUGCAGCAGUGCAAUUUAUUGUAGCUAAAAUUAAAUUGUACUAUAAAAUGAGUUUAAAACUAUAUCAAACUAUUCGUUUAAUAAAAAUAUGCUUGUUUUUAUUUUUCACAUAUAUUAAGAAAAUGUAAUUAUUUUAGUUUAAAAUAUAAAAUUUUCUUAUAUUUUUCUUAAUAUACCUCUACAUUAAAUAAUUAUUUAAAUAUGAUUAAUUUAUAUUUAUUGAUAACAAAGUACAUUAAAAAAGGGCUCAUUAGAAAAUGAAAAAAAUAUCUUUACUUACAAUAGGAAAAUUGACUUAUAAUUUGGGACAAAUUAGAAAAGAAACCAAAUUUAUCUUUACAGGAUGAAUGUAGUAAAAAAUGGUACGUGGGGAUUGUCAUGUAGAGCUACGCAUUGCCCUAAAUGAAGAAUAAAGGAAGUUGCCCUUCAUGGGGUGGUCGAGUUAGUGGAGUAGGUGAGUGCGGAGGCUUUGGUUACGAGUUCGAUUCCCUCUACCAACACUUUCUUAGUCGAGUUUGUCGUAUUGGGCUUGUCUAGUGCGGUUUACCUAGUUGGCGUUACUCAGUGCGCAUCCGAAGGGUAACGGCUGCGGAUUCUCCAAUUUAAAAAAAAAAAAAAAAAAAAAAAGGAGGAAUGAAGGAAGUUUCUUGGCUGGUUCAUUGUGGAGUAAGCAAAUUUUUUAUUCGCUUUGGAAUAAAUAUUUUUAUCCAAAAAUAAUAAUCUAAUUAAAAGAUACAAUUUUAAAUAAGUGAAAAAGUUAUAAACGUAUGCGUGAAAGCUACAAUAAUUGUCAGAGAAAGACAAAUCGGACGUUGGAAUUUUAAAUUGACUAUAAUAUUUGUAUUCCAAGAAGACGAAAAGGGCAAAGGAGAUGGAUAAUAUAAUUAAUAUUAGUGUUGUCACAUUGACGAGAGACGAUAUUGAGUCGCUGUUUUAUAUUGCUUUAAAAAUAAAAUUUUAGUAAAUUUGAUAAGUUGAUGAAAUGAAUGGUUAAAAAGUUGAUAAAGUUGUUGGUCCCAUUAAAUAUGUGAUUAAAAUUAAAUAUUGAUUUUUAUUUAAAAUUUUCACAUUUAGAAAGAGUGGACAAUUAGUUAGAAUAACAGGUGCUGUUACGAAACUGAUUGCAAAAGAGGAGGAAUCGAUCAUAACUAUAUUACAUUCUGGAUUGGUCCGUUUUCACUUUCUUAACUAAAUCAAACAGGUUAAGUUGCAAUAUUAUUUAUGCUUAGGCAUGCUCAGUGUAAUAUGAAUUAGAAUUUAGAUUGGUAAAGUAAAUUUAGGGUUUGUUUGAUUGUAAAGGUAGAAAAGACAAGCUGGUUUCAUGUUAGUUGAAAAAGAAAAAAAAUAUAUCAAGACCAUCGGAAUUCGAUUUCCACUCAGGUGGCUAAAAACUUGCUUUAAGUGUUUGUACUUUGAAAUUCAAACUUAAUUUUUACUUUCGUAUCAAAUAGUUAAAGUAGAAAACUAAUUUUUUGAAUGUGACAUUUUUUCAUGAAAUUUAAUGUUAUCAAACGGACCCCUAGUGAAAUGAAGGUCUUACAAAUGUAAAAGUUCAUCAUAUUUAAAAUAUCACAGUCUAUUUUGAUUUAGAUAACUGUGUUAGAAUCUAUUGAUAAUCGAAAGGUGAGAGAAAACUCCCAUUUGUUUGCACUCCAACUAUUAAGUUGACAUAAAAAUAUAAAAACAGUAAAUAUGUUUUUAAUUUUCCAACCUCUUUUUGAAAGGAAUGAUGCUUGUAUAAAAUGCCUUUAUUCGUUCACGUGUUCUCCAUUCUAUCGUGUAUGGAUAGAAAUGUACGCAUUAUGUAUAUAUAUCCUCGAAGGGAAAUAUAGGAACUAAUAGAUUCCAAGAGAUGACCAAAUAGGACAUAAUCGGUUAGAUAAAGUACUAAUGCUUGAAUGUCAUCUCCUUCGAAAUCACUUAACUCGUAUCAAAAUAUUUAAGUCAUGUUGAAUCGAUGCUUCCCUUUAUGAUGACGAAGGAGAAUAGUCAAGGAGAUCGAUCCUUUAAGCCAGACUACGUAAGUACUUAUUGUAACAUGGAUUAACUUUCAUUUUCUAUUACGUCUGCAAUAUUUUUAGAAUUUUAGUUUAACAGUCAGCCUCUCAAGAUCCAUGUACGAACUCAAUUUAUUAUUUUGAUAUAAAUACGUCAAGUAGUCAGAUUAUAAAAUUAAUUCUUAACUUCCAACAAAAACCCUCGUUAUAAGGAUGUUUUAUUUAAAGGAGAAAUCUCGAUAAUUAAGUAAAACUGAUUAUUUCUUAGUCAUGACGUCUUUCCCUUCUACUAGAAACAGAAAUCUUGUAUCACAAUUUGGUGGAAAUAAUUGGACAAUUCGAUUUCUUUUAUAUUGUUCUUGUUUAUGAUUGUUUCGCUAUUCUUCUUAUUCCGAUUUUUAUAUUACUAGUCAUUCCUUCCAAUUUACGUAUUUGUAAAAAUUAUAAAUAAAUAGCAUUUUUCAAAGACUUGGAAAUUUUUCCAAAGAAAGUGGCAACACCUUGAGAGGUGUACCUUGAAAACGACCUCCAUAAUAAUAUAAUACAAAAUUGUUUCGCCACGUCAAUUGACAAAUACUACAAAAAUUGAUUUUUUUUUUUACGCCGACAGACCGUAAUAACAUCUCAAACACGCAAUUAUCUACAAUUUUAUAAUAGGGGAAUCAAAUUGUUAGGCUAAGACAUAAAUACAAUGCCGUUUAAAAUUUAAAUCAAAAUUAAAUAUAAGUUGAGCUUAAAAGUCUUGUGACAAAAAAAUUUUAGGAAAAAUUACAGUUAAGGUAUCAAACCUUUUGUUUAUCAAUAGACUUGAUCCAAAACCUUCGUCAUGCCAUCAAAAGUGCCAAAACUUUAAAAAACUCGCAUCUGAAGUCCAAAAUGACAGUUACCGUCUAUUUGAACACAAUCAAUUGACCCCAGAAAUGAAAAAUCUAACAAUUUUCCCCAAAUAAGACAAAGAUAAUUGGUAUUACCCAUUUUUCCUUCAAAAGAAAAAGAAAAAGAAAAACACUCUUCUCCACUCACACCCUAUCUACCCCAAAACUAAAAACCCACCAAAAUCAUCUUCUCCACUUCAGUUCAGAAGCCGAAAUCAUGUCUCAUUGAAAAGAGGAACAAGAAAACUCUGCGAUCGAGCAAGUAUUCCUCACAGUACUCGUCAUCGAUGACCGAACCCUACUCAUUGACUUGUUGUCACCUUUCAGAUGUGGACCCUAGGUGGCCGUGGCUUGUACUCUUCUCUCGUUCCUCAACUAGUUCUUCUGGUAUUGUUACGAGUCGCUCUAGAUCAUCGCAAUCUCUACCUAGGUUUGCAGUGAUACCCCUAGGUUACAUCAUGGCGGCGAUGAUUAUGCGAAGAGUGUUCUUCAAGGGGGCGGAAUUGGGAAUUUAGUUUGAAUCCAUGCUCUUUCAAUAUAAAGGAGCACGUGUUGUCCUUAUUGAUCACCAUUUUUGCGAAUUCAGGGAGCGGGUUACCCUUACAUAGGGGAGGACCGAGACAAUUCGAACUGUGGGGUCAAAAAAGAAAUUUUUUUCGAACAAUGUAUCAUGAACAAAAAGGAGAAAUCGGUUGUUUGCUGUUCAUGUUCGAUGUUUGCACUUUGGGAAGAAAUCGGUGAAUUAUAUGAUAUAUCUAUGGACUAAAUAAUGGAUAUGGACGAUGUGAUAUGAAUAUGGAUUUAGGAUUUGAACUUUUUGGGGCAGAAAAUUAAGUUUUAAGCAAAAAUAAAAUAAAUAUAUAAAAAAUAAAAUAAAUUUCCAAAGAACUGUGAGGUCAUUUGACCCCAUGUAGGUCCGCCCCUGUCCUUACAUUAUUCAUAUAGUUCUUUGGGUGGUGGUGUUGGUGGCAUGAAGUGACAUUUUGGUGGUUUUAGGCAUUUUGGUGGCUGUAGGCAUUUUGUUUUCGUACGCAAUGACGAUAGGUAAUGGUAGUGGUAGCUGGUGACGGUGUUUUGAUUUUGGAGUGGGUGAAGAAGAUGCAGAGUGUUUUUUUUUUUUUUUUAAAGAAAAAUGUAUAAUUACCCUUUUGGCCUUUAAAAUUUGGUCAACAUUUGGCCAAAUUUUUUUAUUGUUGGUCAACUAACAGAGAAACUAACGGUUUCUAUUAAUUUGGACUCCAAAUGCGAGUCUUUUUAACGGUUUGGUACCUUCGGUAGCACAAAUGAAAGGUUUGGAUCAAGUCUGUUAAUAAACAAAAUGUUUAGUACCUUGAUUGCAAUUAAAUUUACAUGACUAACAAACAUUUCUCAUUACAAGAAAACAAAAGAAUAAUUAUGCACAUGUAUGCAUGUGCACAAAGACAAAAUCAAUGUCUUCAACUCCAAUUAAAGCUUACAGGCCUUUUUUUUUUUUUUUUUUUUUUUUUGUGGAAGUUUUCGAAGUGAAUUUUGUAAUUAAGUUUUUGUCACCUAAUUAAGUUUUCGUAUUAGUUGUGAGUUUAAGAAAUGUAUUGAUAAAAAGGUAUAUUUGACUACCUAACAAACAUUUGUUAUUGAUGUGAACUUGUACCAAGUUUACAAUGAAACAUAAUUUCUACAUUACAAGACUAUUUCAGAAAAUUAGUAAUCUGAGAUACAAGUAAAUAAAUAAAACAAUCGUAUGACUAUACCUUGUUCAUUCAUAAGUUGGGAAGAGUCGAUAAUUCAAUUGGGAUCGUAGGGGGCAGUGUUUGAGGUACUGUUGAUAUUCUCUGUUUAUGGGAUGUAAUUGAGCAGACCUGUUGAUAUUCUCUGUUUAUGGGAUGUAAUUGAGCAGGCAAUCACUCAACUUUGGAGUGAUUAUUCUGCAGAAAUCUGUCUUCGGAGUUAUUUCUUGUUGGCUUAGCUUGAUUUUUCAACUUUAGUUGCAGCCACUGCUUCCCUACAUUGAAUAUGACUACCCUCAAUCAAUACCUUUAUGGUAAUUCCCAAAUAUUCAUGUUUUUCCUUGAGGUUCUAAUGUUUCUUUUAUGGAUAAAGAAACACCAGAUGGUUGACAGAAGUCACCAAAAAUCGCCACAAGAGCAUAUACCGUCUUUAAAAUGAUGAUAGCGAUUGACAUCCCUUAUAGUGAUUUCCCUUUGUGUAAUUUUGGAAAUAAACUUGAUGGCAACAUGGCAGUCCUCACAAACACGAAGGUUUUUCGUUAUCAGAAGCUUAGCUCCAGCAGGUGUAUUAAUGAGUCCAAAUGCAAUAGCUAGCCUUUCACUGUGGCUGUACACCAUUUUGGUCUUCUCAUCAUCCUCCACGUCAAAGAAAACUGGUGAAAUAUUUGGAACGUAUCCAGCUUUUGCCAUUAGUCCUCCCAAUUCUUCCAAUUCUGCAUAUAUCUCAUCAGACAUAGGAUGAGUUACAUCUCCAGAUACAAAUGCAUGCAUCUUAUUUUUAACCUCAAUCCAGCUACAAGCAAUGCUUUUCUUAAGUUUCCUCUCUGACAAUAGCUUUCUUAGCUUCGUAACUCCUUCCCACUUUCCCGUUUGAGCAUAGAGAUUUGAUAAAAGCACGUAAUGGCCAGCCUCAUCCGGUUCAAGCUCAAUCAGUCUCUCUAAUGCCAGUUCCCCCAACUCCACAUUUCCAUGGAUCUUNCAUGAAUUAAGAAAAGCACCCCAAACACCAGAAUCUGGUGUCACCUUCAUCUCCAUUAUCAAUCCAUAAGCAUCGUUCAAACGAUUACAAUGGCUAAGGAGAUCAACCAUGCAGGUAUAAUGCUGAAUGGUAGGUUCUAUACCAUAAUCUCUUAUCAUCAUGUCAAAAUACAUCUUCCCUUCAUUUAACAGUCCUCCUCGGUUACAAGCCGAUAGAACCCCAACGAAGGUAAUAUGAUCAGGCUGAGCUUCAGCCCGCAUCCAAUUAAACAAAGAGAAGGCUUCAUAUGCAUGACCAUGCAUUGCAUAUCCAGUUAUCAUUGCAUUCCAAGAAACAAGCCUCUUCUCUUUUAGUCCCUCGAAUAAUAUCCUCGCGAUCCCUACAUUCCCACUCUUUGCAUACAUAUCCACAAGGGCAGUCUUCACCCUGUCAUUGGAUUCAAACCCAUGUCUGUAACUAUAACAGUGUAGUUCUCUCCCUUGUACAGUUGCCACUGCAUCAGCACAAGCCGAUGUAGCCGUCACUAGUGUUGCUUCGGUAGGCCUAAACCCUGCUAACGCCAUCUCACCACAGAGUCUCAAACACUCAUCUGGAUGCCCAUUUUGGGAGUAAGCAGCAAGCAUUGAAUUCCACAACACAACGUCCCUAUUGGCAAUCUUGUCAAACACUUGUCGAGAUUCAUUUAUACAACAACAUUUUGCAUACAUAUCAAUAAGUCCAGCACCCACAAAAGAAUCCAUUUCCCACCCAGUUUUCUUCACAUGCUUAUGAAUAUUCCUUCCCACUUCAACAUCGGAUAGGCCCGAACACGCUUUCAGCACAAAAGGAAAGGUGAAAUUAUCCGGAACAAGCCCGUGAUCAAUCAGCUGGUAAUACAAAGAGAUCGCAACUUCAUAUGGUCCAUUCCAUGCAUACCCUCGAAUCAAAACAUUCCAAAGAAACAAAUUUGAUUUCGGCAUUUUUUCGAACAAAUGGUGAGCAUUUGAUAAGGAGUUGCAAACACAGUAGACAUUAACGAGUUUAGUGGCCAAAUGGGUGUUGUGAAAUAGCAUGCCAUUGACACAGAGUUGCGCAUGGAGUUGCUUUCCGGGUUCUAUAGCUUUUUCAGUAAUACAAAAUUGAAGUACAGAGGCAUAUUGGUGGGGAUUUACGUAUCUUCUUGUUUUAGAGAGCAGCAUUUGAAGAGUAAUCAUGCAGCUCUCCUCGCAAAGUUCACAUACAACUUAUUGAUCUCAUAGAAUUGAUCUCUUGCCAAGAUAAAAACUUUCCAUCUAAUACGGCAUGAGAACCUUAAUUAUGGUUCUCCAAAAACAUAUAGCUCCUAGCUAUUCAAAGUUUUUAGUCCCCAAAUAUGAGGUUUACGAAGGGUUGGUCUAAACUACAUCACAAAUGGGAGGCACUGAGGCUGAUACCCCGUCCAUUGAAGAAAAGAGAUCAAAACUGCUCAAUUAUAAUGUAACUCUUAACUUCAAUUUUCCAUGCAGCGUAAUCACCAAUCCAUUUAUUUUGGCGUAUGCAAAGG
RNAcentral lists this long non-coding RNA (9002 nucleotides) under Olea europaea subsp. europaea. The record is from RNAcentral. Lineage: Eukaryota; Viridiplantae; Streptophyta; Magnoliopsida; Lamiales; Oleaceae.